This is a non-coding RNA of Rattus norvegicus (Norway rat), 14674 nucleotides long. The record is from RefSeq and is a predicted model, not a curated record. NCBI's taxonomy places the organism in Eukaryota, Metazoa, Chordata, Mammalia, Rodentia, Muridae.
CUCUCUCUCUCUCUCUCUCUCUCUCUCUCUCUCUCUCUCUCUCUCUCUCUCUCUCUCUGUGAUUGGUUGGAGGGAACAAUGGUGACUAGGGUCGGAAGGUGCCAUUGAGAGGCUAUUGUGAUGGGUUGUCUAGGUGACAAGAUGAUAGAAUGGAGGGGAGAAACAUUUGAGGUAGAAACAUGGUUCAGAGGUAGAGACAAAAUUAAGGCAUUGAAGGUGAGACCCGUUUCCCUGUGUUACUGAAUGGAUGCGGAAGCAGUUGAUACGAUGUCUGCAACCAGAGAGGAACAGGUCUGAGGGAGGGAGAACAGGCAGUCAUCAGAGGCUCUUUGAUCUUGGAAAUCAAAAUUGUUGUUUUGUACAUUGUGUCUUGGACAACUGUGCUUAGCUGUAGGGAACCAAAACUUAACAGACGACACCUUAAACAAGUCAGCUAUUUAAUUAAUCGAGUCACCUGCACACAGUAGCACUCCAGAGAUAGAAUUAGCUAGGAAUAGAAUUAGCUAAGAUGGCAGUCUGUGAAUGGCGCCGAGACCCCAGGCACAUGACCUCUUCUCCUUGGCCCUUCUUCCUCUGCCCCUCACCCUCUUCAAAGUGAUCUGGAUGCAGCAGCCCUAGGCAUCAGUGGCCUCAGCACCCAAGGUUAAAGAUGUGAUAGGUUAAAAAGGGAGGGGGAAGUGAAGUGGAAAUUUCUGGAUUCUUUGGAUCCUCAGUUGUGUCGGGUGAUGGUUUUCUGGAAACUAUCUUAUGAAAUGGUGUUUUGUUGAAGCAGACGUGUGGGAAGAGGUUUUGUUGAGAACAUACAUGUGGAGUUUUUCUGGAAGCUGCCUGGCAAGAGGGCGUGUGAUGUUUUGCUGGAGCGGAGGCUUGAGAGGACCUGCGAUGUUUGAAAAGUGUAUAAGUAUAACCCAGUGGACAGUGGAUUGUUCUUGCCCCUCAUUGCUGGUCUCCAUUGGUCUUUGCUGACGCUGGUCUUUGCUGAUGACUCUCUAGCUCUGGUUCACUUUGCCUUUUUCAUUGAAACACACCAAAGACCCUCUCGUGAUAUUCUAGCAGCUUCUUGUCUCUCAGUUUCUUCUGGAUCAAACUGCUAUUACAGAUCUGUGAACAGUAUCUUUAAAUGGAUUGUGCUACUGCUGCUGAUUAGAGUGAACUGAAUUGCUAAUAUCCUGACAAUGAAGAGUGGAAUCACCCCAGAGAACUAUUUCUAAACAGGUCCACAUCCCCCUUUGGCCUAUUAACCUUUCCUUUCUACUACCUCUGGUGAGUGGUUUGUUGGAAGGGAGGUUAAAGCGUUUAAGAACCCGUAUUAACGUAAGUUUUGAAAAAUCUAAACCUACAGGAAAAUAUUCCAGAAACUCCCAGCAGAAUUGUAAAAAUCUCACUGACCAGAACUACGUGUGAGUAACUGUAGAUCAAGGAGCUUGAGGUCUGGUUGGAUACAGUGGCCCACGGGACACAAUAAGGGCACUUUCAAGAGUAGGAGGUGAGUGGACAGUGUGGAUCCAGGCAAUGGGCAAUAUCGUCAAGGCCAAGUUAAACUUCCUGGUGAACAUUCCCGUGGAAAGUCAUGUGAGGUUGGGAAAACAAACACCGAGAGAGAGCUUGUUUUAGAGGGAGAGCAGAAGUGACGGUAAGAGCUUGGAUAUGUAACCGUUACUUUUCUCAUGUCUGAUGACACACGCACAGGCACGCACGCACGCACGCACACAUGUAGCAAGAGAAGUGUAAGGAAGUGUGAUAGCUAGUCUUCGCUGUCAACUCAACAGGAUUUAGAAUCACUAUAGAAUCUAUCUCUGGGCAUAGCCUGCAAGGAACUUCCUAGAGUAGGUUUAUUGCGGUGAGGAGACCCAGACUAAACAUAGGAAGCAGGCAGCGCAGUUCUGUGGGCUGGGCCCGGGCUGAAUUAAAGGGAGCGUGCGAGCGAGCGUGCGACCUAAAAAGCAAGCGGAGCACCUGUCGACUUAGAUUUUUCAAAACCUACUUUAAUAAGGGUUCUCAAACACUUCGACUCUCCUUCUAGUCCACCACCCAAAGGCAGGGAGAAAAGACGGUAAACAGGACAAGGGGACCUGCUUAGUAGUUCCUCGGGGGUGAUUCUAAUCUCCAUUUAUCAGGUUACCAGCAGUUCAGUUCAGUAGUGCCAGGAUAGGGAGCCAGCAGAACCAGCCUCGAUGCCAGGAGUUCUCUGCCGUACCCAGCUCUCCCUCGGUGAGGAUCACUGAAGACAGGAGACCAACUAAGCGUUGCAAGGUUAGGUAUACGGGCACCCUGUUGAGUCCUAUUUAUACUCUCUCCAAAUAUCACAUGUCCUCCCACAGGUCUUGACUCAGCAAAACACCAUGUGAGUCUAUAUCACAUGACACGACCGGAAGCUUCUACUUCAAGCACCAGUGUUCAUCUCUCUGCUUCCCGAUUGUGGAUGCCAUGUGACCCGCUCCUCGUGCUCUGGCCACUGUCCCUUCCCUGUCAUGAUAAACUGUACCUUCAAAUUCUGGGCCAAAAUAAGCCCUUCUUUUCUUAAGUUGCUUUUACAGUGACUAGAACCACUUCACUGAACCCAAUCUAGAAACUCCCUUAUGAUGUACCAAGAUGUUUGUCUCCUUGGCCAUUUCUAGAUUCUGCCACGUGGACAAUUUAUAGUAAUCACCACGGGAAGUUAUUAGGGUGUGGCCAUGUUAAAAUCCAAGAGGGAAUAUGACAUAUAUUAGGAAGGGAAUAUUGUUUGGAACUUGUCAAUUUUGGGCUUAUUACUGUGACUUGUUUUAAUUUUAUUACCUCAGUAAAAAUUUUAACAUAUACCUUCCUUAGAUCAGAAACUGUUUUGGAUUCUCAAAGCUCUCAAAGAUGUCUGUCUUUCUUUCUCUUUCUUUCUUUCUUUCUUUCUUUCUUUCUUUCUUUCUUUCUUUCUUUCUUUCUUUCUUUCCCAAGAAGUUUACAGAUGUGAAGAAAGCACUGUAGUUUUACACAGGGGUGGUUUUGGUGGUUUUUUUUUUUUUAAUAAUAUGUACUAAAGUUAACUCAUUGUUCUAGUUGUUGUGAUAAACAUCCUGAGAAAAAGCAGCUUGAGGGAGGGGAGAUUUAGUUUAGCUUGUUGCUCCAGAUUACCGUCCAUCGUUGAAGGAAGUCAAGGUAAGGACCCGAGGGAGGAACUUGAAGGCAGGCAAGCCUGCUUGCCAUUUUGCACAGCACUGCCUUCAACCAAGGAGUUAAUUUCAUAGCUAAGAAGUAUAGCAGUAAUGGAGAAUGUCAUUUGAUUGCAGACAGGCUUAUACUCAAACCAGCCUUGGUUUAUAGUUCAGAAACCCAGCCAAGGGAUUGUGCCACCCACAGUGGGCUGGGCCCUCAUUUAUCCAUUAACAAUCAAGACACUCCUCCACAGACAUGCUCACCAGUCCAUCUGAGAUAGGUAAUUUCAGUGUAGCCUCUCCUCUCGAUGGGUCUUGGACUGAGUGAGGUUGAGAGUUAAAGCUAACAGGGACUCAUCUACAUAGACUCCUUAUAAUGCGUCUGAGUAACUGAUAGUUUUACAGCAGAUUCACUUUUUAAGGUGAGAAUAUAAAUAAUUUAUGGUAAGCAGUGUACUGCCUAUGUAUGAAUGUAUGCUCAUUUCAAUUUGGAAUUUUUUUAAAAAAAAGUCCAAGUUUUAAAAUAGAAUCAAAUAACAAUCUUAAUAGUAAGGUGACCAUUAAAAUCAAUGUAAUGUGGUAUAGAAUGUUAAAUUGAUUUUGAUAUUUUACUUGUCAUGUGACUCUGGUUAGACUAGGAUUGAAGAGUCCUUUCUUAAUUUCUACUUCUUAUUUCUCUUGGGAGUCCCAAGGAUGCUCAGUGUUAUCAUGGUCCAAAUUAAGUCCUUCAUCUUUCCCACCUCCAGGUCCUUCCCCUGAAUCAGGUUUUCCUGGAUUCUUCCGACCCCACCCCACCCUCCCCACCCCCCUGCAAUGAGUCACUCUCUCAUCCUUUUGACCUAUGCAAGAACUCAAAGGGCCGGUCUAGAGAAUAGUCUCUUUCACUUUGCCUUUUAUUAGUGACACUUGGUGACCUCUCUGCUGGACUGUCAGCUCCUCACCUCUGCUCCUAGCCGGGCUCUUUGAGAAGCCGUCUCUGUGGCUGAAUCGAGAGAGUCUCCUAAGCUGAACUGUCCAGUCUGUUGUUUGGCCAACUCUCUUCCGGAAUCCCACUCCCACUGAUGUUCUACAAUCCCAAUCUACUUUAAAUCUCUCAGGCUGAGUGGACAUACACAAGACUCUAUAUGCAGAAAUUCACAGAGCCCACAGUACGUAAAUGUGUACAUGCAGACCAUUAAGACAGGAUGAUGUUUAAGAUAGUCCUAAACCCCGAGUCACAACGAAGCUAUUAUUCUCAGGCCUACCGAGGAACACUUCACCACACACCUUUAUAAAGGGCUUUAUAGAACCCGGAGUAUGAAAUUUGAUCUACAGAAAGAAACUAGUUGCAUCACCAUGACCAUGGGCCCUCCUAUGACCCAGUCCCCACCUUCCUUAGAAGCCUCGGAUGACCUCUCCCCAUUGUGAACUUCAUGUCUCAUAACAAAAAAACCACAUCCCGUUCCUGUGUACAGUGUGCCCCUCCCCAUGAUUCUGGUAGAGCAGUUUCCUCUUUAUCCACCCCCCCCCCCCAUAUGUGUGUGUAUGUGUUUGGUUACCUAUGCUUGUUACUCAACUCUGGGCUUAAGGAAUUCCAUGUUGAGCUAAAUAUGUGUCUUCUGAGGUCCAGCUACCAUAGCAUAAACACGAACACAACUUGUAUCCGUCUCUUUUCACGCUACCUGUGGGGAAAAGUCCAAGUGACUGGGAGGUGGAGUUGGUAGUAGCAGUAGCAAUGGGGUAGCGAUGGUGGUGAUACUCAGCUGCUGUAGAGGAAGCAGGUAAGGCUGAGGGGGCUGAGGAACCACCCGUUGGAUGCUUCUGCAGUAGGGGAUGAGCUGGGGUGUGAACUCAGACAGCUAGCUCCUAAGGCUGCACCUGAAUAUCUGACAGCAGCGUGAGAGCUGGCAAUGGGCCCUUGGCAAGUGCUCAAUGAUGUAAAUGACGUGUGUGCUCCCUCUACUUCACCCACCUAGCGUUAUGGAAGUCGAGUACGAUGUAGCAAAGAGAAUCAUUUUGUGGUUCCGUUUCACUUCCGGCAAAACCAGUAGCAGAAAAAUGGGGGAGCUGAGGGAUGACCAGCUAAUUUACCAAAUUACCAGAAGCAUGCUUGCUGUCUCAGACUUGUGCUCCUGGUGUGGACAGCCCUUGGUGUUAGCCUCUGCAGAAGAAAAAUAACCUGGUGUUUGAUGACAACUCUCUAUCUGGUCACCUGUCUUGCCAUGUGAAACCCGGUGGGAGUCUCUUGUUGGAAGUGAACAUGAAACUUUUUCUACCUCAAAGAUGCUUUCAUGUACAAAAAGAUGUAUGAGUUUCCAAGUGGUGUUAGCAGUUUGAUAAAAUGCUACAUGUGAGCGGACUGCUGCUUCUGCUCAGACGAAGCUGUUUUUCAGAGCUACAGGUAAAUCUAUGAUAGUCUCUGUACGUUAAAAUAUUGCUAGGUGACUUGGGAAUAAUUGAAGUGUCUUCAAAUGGGUCUGUGAACUGGUAUUUUUAAUUUAAAAAGUUCAAAUAUAUUAUUUUUGUAAUGGUCUGUGAAGAUCAAAAGUCAUCCCAGACUGAUUAUACCUUUGAAUUAUAAAUGUGGGGUCAUGAUCUCCAUAAGCUUUUCUUUGCUUCUUCAUUAAAAUGCUCAGAUGAAAGGAAACAUUGAAAGCAGAAUAUUGGCUUAUAAAUAAUAAUACUAAUAAAAAGGUGGUAACUUCCACUGUAUAUGCUUUAUGAUUUUGUUAUAGAGUCUAUUUUGCGAUAGAACAAAUAAUCUAUUGUUUAGAAUAAAGACCUAUAUAACUUUCUGUCCUGUGCUAAGCCAGCACUGGGAGUACUUGCAAGGGCCUUGACGUUUGCUUGGUUGUUUACCACGAGCUGCUUCGUUGGUAAUCAAUUGUUUAAUCGCCCGUGUUACAAGUCUUUCAUGUUAAAGAAACAUACUUACUAGUUCCUAUUUUUCUCCUGUCUCGUCGUUAACGAGUUAUUUCUUCCCUAACAGAUAGGCAAGACCUAGCUUGAGCUUGCCCUGGCCUCUCACUGGGGUCUUUUUUCACUCUGAUUUCUGUGCUCUCACUGCACACCUGGCCACUCAGGUCGGCAAACUCAGCCAUCUCCUCUUUCAUUGUCGGACUCAUCUCCCAGCACUUGCCUGAAUCAGUCUUUAGAAAAUGCCCACUCGAGCGUGGUUCUUUCUUUGUUCUUGGGUCUACUGUGUGUUCUCACACUGGGGGGGGGGUGGGAGGAAAAUAAAAUAAAAUGAUUUUUUUUCUUUAAAAAAGCCCGCUAUGAUUAAAAACAUUAAAGCUGAACUUGGGAUGCUCACAGUAAACGGAUUACACAAAAUCCACCAACCCACAGGAUCUUCUGUUUCCAUUUACCAGUGAACUAUCAAUGUAAGCCCCAAAGACAGAGCUCUCCAAGCUCAGGUAGGAAAUCUGGGCGAGGUUUACAGGGUAAUGUUUCCUUUUCCCAUCUCCAGAAUACUUUUACUGAAACCAAGGUGACCUAUUUCCUCCUAAGUCAAUGGUCUGGCUUCACGCCCUCCCUGUCUUGUGGGAAGGCACAUAUGUGUGGCAAGCCAGUUCUGCUUUUUGUUUAAACUGGGCGAAGAGGUCAUCCAGUUUCGAAUCCAGCUCUUGUCAUGGUCAGAAAACAUUUUCCUUAUUAGCUGGGGCACAGUCUCAUCUGCGGGCCAUAUUGGGUCAUUUGGUUGACCUGGGCCAAGGAAGAUAAGCAACUUUUGGAGGUUCCACUUAACCUUUGAGUGUGUGGGUCUGAUGUACCUGGGUGUGGAGCAUGUGGAACUUUGGGGAGGCGGAAGUAGGUGCCUUAGCUGUUUGCUGACUUUCGUGAUACCAAAUGGGGAAGCUAAGCGUUCUGGCUCCGGUCUCUCCUGAAGCAAAGAGUAACUUCGCAAUAGCAUUCUGGCCAACCAGCAGAUGCCAAGUUCUGCUGCAUGGGUCUUAGGGGGCCCCUUUAUUUCCUGAUGGAAAGGACUGGAAGCUGUUGGCACUUUUCUCUCAACCUGUUUAGUCUGACCUAGCUAUGACACGUGCGGUUACUCUACUCUUUCUGCAACUUUGAGACUAUAAAUUGGUAAGGCAAACUGUGUGUGAUAGCUUAUGCCUGAAUCCCAGCACUUAAAAGACUGAGGCAGGAGGACCCCAAGUUCCAGGUCCAGCUGGGCUACAUAACAAGACACUUUUCUUAAAAUAAAACAAAGCAACCCCCUCCUCCAAGCCAGAAAACAGGUAAUUAUGGAAGACUGCCCUCCCCGUAUCGUGGAGUCCCGCGUGGUGCCACAGGACCUCUUCCACCUUUGUGUCUUACACAGGAAGCAAAUCUACCCUGUAACUUCAUUAUAUUGCUACAAACUAUUUGGUCCUCUCCCAUGAAAAGUCACAGCUUAAGCCCCCCUCUCUGGAACCCAGCUUCCCUGAUUUUCUUCUAGCAAACAGAACCCAGGAGGAGAGAUGAUGACUGAAUCCCAGCCCUCCUGUGCCUUACAAAGUGAUACAGUUUCUACCUCUUGCUUUGACAUGUGUCCUGGUCCUAUAGCUGACAUGCUAGAAUUAUCCUACAUAAGAAGCUGAAAGUCGGAGAAACCAUGUGGGGUCCACAGAGGGCUAGCGGUGACAGAGGAACCCCAGUUACCUAUCUCAGGCUUCCCAGUGAGAAAUGCCAAACUGGAGUGUGCCAGCCUGCACAAGGUGCCCAUCCCCAGUCUUCAAGGUACUCUCAUGGAUGCAAAGGGGAACAGACAAGAUGGCUUCCUCUAAGCCAGUGGUUCUCAACGUGUGGGUCACGACCCCUUUGGGCUGACAUAUUAGGUAUGUCCAUGACCCAGGGUAGCAAAAUUAGUUAUGAAGUAGCAACCAAAAUAACUUCAUGGUGGUGGUGGUGGGGUUAACCACAACAUGAGGAACUAAAGGGUUCCAGCAUUAGGAAGGUUGAGAGCCAGUGGUUAAGCCCUUCCCAAAUUGCAGAUUCAUGAACCAAAGUGCACAUUAUUACAAGCUGUAAGUUCCGGACAUGGUUUGUAACACAAUAACAAACCCAAACUUCUUACCUUUACGCCUCAACUCAUUGGACAUUUUUGUGACUUGUAGUUUAAAAUAUACCUACCUGGACCAUUUAACAGAGAUGAAAAAAAAAAUAGCUUCAGUGGUUCGUUUGAGUCCUGUGUGCCGAUUGUCUAUCUUGACACCCCACCCCACCCCCAACCUCUGGUUGUGUUCAUCAACUUUGCCAGAGGGCUGUAUUACAAUUUGCCCCUUAUGGUGAUACUGACUUAAUUACAUACAUGUUUUAUUUAUAAUCGGUCUGGGCUGUCAACUUUGUGGCGAUCCUUCAUUUCAGCAAUCUGGAGGCAGAGGCGGGCAGAUCUCUGACUUCAAAGCCAACUUGGCCUACACAGUGAGUCUAGGCUGGCCAGGGCAGCAUGGCAAAGUCAGGGUACCAUGGAUGCCAUACUCUUUCUUGCCCCUCUGGUAUUGUGAUACUAACAAGCAGCAGUCAUCACUUAUUGCCAAAGCCUGAGAGUCUGCUUCCUCGGAUUCACCUCAGGGUUCCAAUAUGUCUUCCUCACAAAGCCCUCCUAGUGUCUGACAGCUUUGUUCUUUCUCUGACGUUUGCAGCUUUUUAAAGAGAUGAAUAUUUAGUGUCAUGUUCCACAGGCCAGAUUCUUUGAAGCAAAAUACCAUGAGUUAGUUCUCCCUCUUUAAAGACCUAAUGGUCACUCAUUACUGAUGGGAUCCCUCGGAAGCCUUCACAGAUGAUUUUAAUAAUAAAUGCAUUGAUAAGCCUACCAUUCAUAUACUAAGUACUAAAAUCCAUUAUUUUCUUAUUACCUAGUGACAGAGAUUCCCAAGACAGCUGUGCAAUACAGUGUGGGCAGCUGUCCCGUAGCACUGAAGUUUUAAGCAUGAACAGAACUGUUACUCCCAAGGGCUGGUUUCAUGGAGGCUAACUGCAUGGUAGAAAUGUCUAUUCACUCAAUGUCCACGCCCUUAAAUGCACACUGGGAUGGAGCAGAGCAAGUGUCUGAUGUACCGAGGAGGCACGGGUGUGUGGAGGCUAGGUUGGGGGCAGAGAGGGUUCUUGUAGAGACGCCACACAAAUGAUAUCAUAUGCAGAAGCCGCUGCUGGGAUUGGAAAAAUGGCUGGGCAGGGAGCUUCAGCCUCUCUUGGAUCUGACUGUUUGAUUUAGUGUCUUUCAGGGUCACACUUGUAUCCCUGGGUGGGCUGGAAAAUCUGUUCGAGUGCACUAAUACUUAAUAGAAGCCCUGAGUGGUAAUUUAAAGAGCCUGGCAUGCCUUUUUUUUUUUUUUUUUUUUUUUUGUUAUAAGCAGGAAGAUGCCCGAGUGCAAAAGCUGAGCUAAUAUCUCACUGUGACGCCAAACCAGGGCAGAUGUUCCUUGCUGGGUCUCAAAUGCGGUUGCUUCCAGCACGAUUUCCUUCAGUGAACAGGAAACACUAAGAGAGGAGAGAGACAAUUGCCUUUCACAGCAGCCCCCGCAGCCAGCAAGAACAAGCAUUCAUUUCUUCUAGAAUAUUCUACCAAAUGAGGAACUGAAUUAGGGAUGCAGCAAACAGUGCUUUGUAUUGGUGCUACCUGAUGUUUUAAUUUUUGUAACCUGUGGAAAAUAUGCUGUUCCUGCAUCUUGCUUUCAGAGAUUCCUUGGGACUGGUAUCAUCCUUUUACAUGACUCCAAGCCCCCUUUAAUUCUGGUGCAUGCAUGUGUUUCUUUCUCUCUCUCUGUCUCUGUCGCUGUGUUUCUGUUUCUCUGUCUGUCUCUCUGUCUGUCUCUGUCUCUGUCUCUGUGUCUCUCUGUCUCUCUGUCUCUCUGUCUCUCUGUCUCUCUCUCUCUCUCUCUCUCUCUCUCUCUCUCUCUCUCUCUCUGUGUGUGUGUGUGUGUGAAUAUAAGACUGUAGUGGUGGUGGAAGUCCAGAAACAACAGAUCCCUGUGUCUUGUGCUACUUGCCUAGGGUGACACCAUUCUUGAGCCUCCGUAUCUUGCCACCUGUCCCUUGAGACCUUCUCAUAAUUAGAGAAAGGAUGUCACAAGCUUUGGAUCUUUGGAUUUCAUUUGGAUUAGAGCCCUUAGUCUUACUCUAAGCCUUCCUGAUGUUCUCUCCCUAUCUCUGUCUCUGUCUAUCUCUCUCAGCUAAUGCUCAUACAAAAGUUAAGAGAAAAACCCAGGCUCGGGAUUUCUUUUUAGGGAAUGAAAAUGCCCUUUCACACUCACAGUUUGGAAACCUCAGGAAAAGGUCAGUCUGUUCUAACUACAUGGACAUCCAACCCCUCAUCUCACAGUUACCUCAAAAUGAAUGCAACUAUGCUUCCCAUGUGAAAGCCAAGGCCCAAAGCACUACCUGACCUUUCAUCCUUAACUUGGGCCAGCCACACAGCAGCUAGGGACUGUCUGCAAGACACCAGACGCUGCUAUACUGCUAUCCUGAUUUUUCUCUCCUUCAGUUUGUUUUCCCCCUUCCUUGCUGUCCCACAUGCUGGCCCUCACUCUUACACAGAUUACCUCUACCUCUGGAGCUUCUGGUAAAUCCAGACUUCUGCUGAAUACCAGGGGAUGCGCUUUCUCCCUUUAUCCUUGCAAAUACCAGCUGCCCCUGUUCACUUUCAAAGCGCCACUGUAAACCACACAGCCCUGGAUGGCAAAGGACUGAGUAAAGAUGGGAAUGGCAAACUUUCUGUAAGGUAGCACACAGAGCCUUAACUGUGCGUAACUAAAUGUGGGGCUCAAAAGUAGCUCGGCAACAGUAAGGUUUUCUGAAUGAGCAACAAUUAAAAAUUAAUUCAAUGUUAAGUGCAUAAUGAACCCAAGUUACUUUUGGUAGUGCUCACCCAAGUAGAGGAACAACUUCCGGGCAACCUUUGGGGUAACUUAACCUCUGAACGCACAACAGGCACGCAUUUGCGCAGUAGUGCAUGACAUCACACAAGAUACCGCAAGGUCUGCCCGAAACAGCACUAUUCAGUCCAGACUAUUUCCUGCCAUUGUAGCAUUUUUAUUGCACAUAAAGUUUUCUUUCUUAUAGAAACAUAGUGCGUUAACUAUGGGAAACAAAGACCUCAGUGUUUUUCUACUUUCAUUCCUUACUGCGUAAGUUAGCGUAUAUCUAGAUUGCUUGUAUUGCAAUGUUUGAUUUUAAAAAUUGUGUGUGAGUGGCUGUUCUGAGUUUUAUUUAAGAUGUGUUGAAUAAACGUUGAAAGAAAUAAAGCUAAAGAAACCCUGAUGUAGCAGACACUAAACCUCUUUGUGGCUUGGGAUUAAGAGAGAUUUUCAACAAUUUUGAAAUGCCCCCAAAUGUACCCAUGUCACUCUUCACUACAUAUUUAUGUGAGAGCAUUCUCAGUACUGAUAAAAUACAAACAUUGAUCAACCCAGAGACUCUGCAUUCUGCAACAUCAAGUAUUCAGCCAAUACAUAAUUAUCCAUGUAAAAAUAAAUAUUCCAUCUCAUUAGUAUGCACAUUUUUUACUUUAAUAGGUGACAAAAUUAUAUGUAUACCAAGGAAUUAUUCUAGAUAGCUUAGGCCAUCAACAUGGCCUAGAAGGUAAAGGUAUAUGCCCUGUAACCAUGGCAACCUGAGUCCAAGCCCCAGAAGUCCCUAUGUUAGAUAGAGACAGCCCACUUCACAAAGUUAUUCUCUGACCACCAGACACACUCUCUGGCUUGUGGGUCCACUCACACAUAUACUGUACUUCCAGACAUGUGCGCGCGCGUGUACACACACACACACAGACACACACACACAGACACACACACACAGACACACACACACACACACACUGAAGCAUUAAAAAACUUUAUGGUUAUUAUCAAUUAAUGUUUGAUAUAUGAUGUGCAAAGGUUUCUCAAAAAAAAAAAAGGUCUGAAUAGAAAAGUUGUAGAAACCUCAGUGUAGCAGACACUAAACCCCUUUGUGGCUGGACACCUUGUUGUUGACUUGGUUCUGACCUUGUAGUGCAAACGCAACCACCGAUAAUUGCUGAGCUCAUCAAUGAAUGUGCUCGAAUAAUGCUCCACUAACAUGGGAGUGUGAAUUCCACGUAAAUGCUCCACUAACACGGGAGUGUGAAUUCCACGUAAUUUUUGCAUGUCACCAAAGAGUAUUGUUUUAUCGGAAAAUGUCUAGCUAUUUAAAAUUCAAAAAGCCAUUACUAUCUCUGAGACCAUUCAAAAGUAUGGGGUGGAUUGGAUUUGGCUUGUGGGUCGAGGUUUGUGGACUCUUGGUUGAAACUGGUGCUUUCUAAUUUUACUGGGUAUGUACAACGCCGACAGUCCUGUUAAGAUGUCAUCAGCCUGGUGUGGUGGCACGAAUCUGUCAUCCUCCCACUGGGGAAGCUGAAGCAAGAUUGUGAGUUCCGGCCAGCCUGGGCUACAUAGUAAGAUCCUGCAUGCAACCCCUGAAAAGAGCAACCAAAUCAAUAAAGAUGCAGGCUAACUCGGGGUAUGGAAUAGAAAGCAGAGAGCUUGCAUCCUCCCCACCCUCGCUCACUCCCAGAGACAUUUCACUCCGUUUAGCAGACUAGCUCCCGGCAGUCUGAGUGGGAAAGUGCUGCCGUAAAGAAGCCCUGAAAGGUAGGUUAAUGACACAAGAAGAUGCUCGGAAAGCCAGGCACGGGGGAAAAGCAAGCUUGCAAGCUAAGUAAACUCUCUUCCCAGCAAUGGGAGUCUGGGCCUGUUCCUUAACCCUUUUCAGUUUCUGUCUAUUCAGCUGUAAGACAAGAUAAGGAUCUCUGCCUCAGGUAUGUGGUAUUGGAACUUAACUCAGUUACGGGAGCCUGAGCAGGCGCUCAGCCUUCGCUCCCACUUGGAAAUUAAAAGGUGAGACAUGAACCCUUGUAUGACAGAUUAAGGUGAACUUUAAUGUUGAGUGUGUCAGGGAAUUUCCCUCCUCCGUUCUUAGAUCCCAUUUGCCAGGGUCGUGGCCAGUCAUUCAUUCAGGAAAUAUUUGCUGAGUUCUCUGCUUCUGUCAGUGUGGGCAGCAGCACCCCAGGCGUUGGUUAAAAGCUGCCUUCUACAGUCCUGUGGAACUCUGUCAGAAGGCGGAACAGUGCUAAGGAGGUUUGUAUUCUGGGACAGAAGCUCCGGAAGAGGUUUGCAAUGGGAUUGGGCUAGUGCUGAGAAGGUCACAUGAGAACGGCUUCUCCAUGGCCUUGCUAAUGACUGUGUGUGGGAAACACGUUAGCUGACAGGCAAUCCCGCUAGGCUCCUUCUAGCUUACUUAUCGCCUGCCGCCAUUACCUGCCAGAUGCAGGUGUCUAUAAAAGGACUGCUCGCCACUCCAGUUCUCUCUGUGUGUCCCCACAUGUUCCUGGCUGGUCUCUGUCCCCACUCUGUCCUUCCUUGUCCGAGUUCUCUACCCUCGUGACUCUACUCCCAUCCCAUCACAACAACUAUGACAGACAACCUGUCUGUCUCUACCUUUGCUCUGGUCCUCAUUCUCCUCCCUUCUCCCAAAUAAACCUCCUUUAUACCAGAUCGAUUGCAUGGUGAUUUCUCAGGGACACCUUGGCACGGGCCUGCCAGGUACUCCCUCGCCGCCUUCUAUUUCAAAGCAGAAGGCAUACCUCAUCUGUGCCCUCCUCCUGGCAUACUGAGCCCACUCUCUGGUCUGUAUAUUUCUUCUUUCUCAAUUGUGUUGUGGGGGGGGGGCGGAUUUUCCCAUGUCUCCGCUUUUGUUGUUGUUGUUAUUAUUUUAUGUGGCUUUUGCCUGCCUAUAUGUCUGUCUGUGUACCAUGUGCCUGUCUAAUACCAUGGAGGUCAGAAGAAGGGAGUGGAUUCAUUGAAGCCGGAGUUACAGAUGGUUAUGAGCUGCCAUGUGGUUGCCAGAAACAAGGCCUGAGUCCUCGGUAAGAUCAGUAAGUGCUCUUAACCAUUGAUUCACCUCCCCAGCCCCGUGCUUCAUCUUCUCGAAGCGACCCUUCAUUUCACCUCCUCACUUGGGGCACUGUCCUCGUCCCCUGUCCCACGACUACACAGAGCCGCACUGAGGUACUCCCCACAGAUUGAUGCUGGGAGGCUUGGAGCAGAAGAGAGGCUGCAGAGAAAGCAAGAUGGCCGCUGCCCGUUCCUAGCCUAGCCGGGAGCCUAGGUUGGGGCUCUGUGGAGCGGUCUGCAGGCAGAAGCACAAUCUUUCCUUCUUCACCCCAGGAAGAGAAGUGGAGUUCUCACAGGGUUGAAUAAGAUGACUCUACCAGUUCUGCAGAGAGGAUCGAUAGCGGCUGAGGCUGGGGGGGUUAGGGGAGGAGAAGGGCGAGCACUUAAGCAGCUUGCGUGGGAACACACAAGUGCCGGUGGAUGCUGCGGAACAUGGAUCGUUGUGGUCUCCUCGAGUGGUUUGGGGGUUCUGGUAAAAGCUGAGCUACAUUUGGAAAAGUGCGUCUAUUCACAAGAAAUUGAUCUGAAGAGCCCUAUUCUGAUCACACAGACGUGGUAUUCACAGGACCCUGAGAUCAAGUCGGACGUUUAGUUCACAAGCGAUACAGCAAACCUGCGAGCGUUUCUCCAUUGUUUUCUGAACACCCAAUCUCAGUAAAUAGCGGAACAGCA